Nylanderia fulva is the source of this 795-nucleotide long non-coding RNA. RefSeq lists it as uncharacterized. NCBI's taxonomy places the organism in Eukaryota, Metazoa, Arthropoda, Insecta, Hymenoptera, Formicidae. The record is from RefSeq and is a predicted model, not a curated record.
CUUUCAUCGUCGCGUAUCGCGUCGGUCCGCAAAGAAAAAUGCAGGUAUGAAUUAAUUAGUAUCUCUACGUCGUUAAUUAUCGUAUAAAUUCGAUCGUAUCGCGUCUAUCGACAUCGUAAUCGCGAUCGCGUACGAAAAAUCGCUCUCUUCGGCCGUGAAUCGCGAAUCUCGCCGUGAAGUUGCAUAUACGGUCCCAGAAACAUGUCACGUGACCGUGACGUCACGGCUCGGGCUUCUCGCAAAAGCAGUCGGUCGGAAAUAUCUAGCAAAGAACGAGAUAAAUACGUAUAAUAUUUUAUAGCUUAAUCGUCGUCAAAUAUUAAAUUCAGUGAAAAGUGAAAAUAUGGUGAAGUGAAUAUCAAUUCGGGACUUCAAAGUGCGUCGCGAAGAAGUCGUCCUCGUCGUUCGACGAGGUCCUUCGACAAGUAACCUCGAAGAAAGCGGCGACGCGAAAUCGGAGCGUCGGUUUUGUUCGCGCGCGAAUAAGCUCCCGCGAUUCUCGCGUUUUACCGAAACGCGUCGAAAAUAUGAUAAUUAAAAUCCGGCGUCGCCGUUCGCGAACGAAAAAAAAAAGAGUAACGCGAGUGCGAGUGUUUCGAAGUGUCUUCUACGAGGAGGCUCCGGGUGGAACAACUAUGUGGGAACAAAUAAGGAUAAAGAAAGGAAGAAAGGAGACCCAGGAUGAUAUCAGGCAACGGUGGAGCAACUAUAUGUUAAUAACUCCGCUGCUGCGCAUCGUGUGCCGGUGAGUCGCAUGGAUUUACUAUAUAAUGAUUUUGUGAAAAUCAUGUAUGA